This 375-nucleotide ribosomal RNA is filed under the name uncultured eukaryote. Its description in RNAcentral is "partial 18S ribosomal RNA". It matches the Rfam family "Eukaryotic small subunit ribosomal RNA", at positions 592 to 976 of the family's 1831-position model. The record is from RNAcentral.
CAAUAGCGUAUAUUAACGUUGUUGCAGUUAAAAAGCUCGUAGUUGGAUUUCGGUUAAGAGCGACCGGUCCGCCGUUUGGUGUGCACUGGUUGGUUUUAACUUCCUGUAGAGGACGUGCUCUGGGUUUAACGACCUGGACUCGGAGUCUACGUGGUUACUUUGAAAAAAUUAGAGUGUUCAAAGCGGGCUUACGCUUGAAUAUUUCAGCAUGGAAUAACACUAUAGGACUCCUGUCCUAUUUCGUUGGUCUCGGGACGGGAGUAAUGAUUAAGAGGAACAGUUGGGGGUAUUCGUAUUUCAUUGUCAGAGGUGAAAUUCUUGGAUUUAUGAAAGACGAACUUCUGCGAAAGCAUUUGCCAAGGAUGUUUUCAUUAA